This 2629-nucleotide ribosomal RNA is filed under the name Salmonella enterica subsp. enterica serovar Enteritidis. Its description in RNAcentral is "partial 23S ribosomal RNA". It matches the Rfam family "Bacterial large subunit ribosomal RNA". The record is from RNAcentral. Lineage: Bacteria; Pseudomonadati; Pseudomonadota; Gammaproteobacteria; Enterobacterales; Enterobacteriaceae.
UAUCAUUAACUGAAUCCAUAGGUUAAUGAGGCGAACCGGGGGAACUGAAACAUCUAAGUACCCCGAGGAAAAGAAAUCAACCGAGAUUCCCCCAGUAGCGGCGAGCGAACGGGGAGGAGCCCAGAGCCUGAAUCAGCAUGUGUGUUAGUGGAAGCGUCUGGAAAGGCGCGCGAUACAGGGUGACAGCCCCGUACACAAAAGCGCAUGUGCUGUGAGCUCGAUGAGUAGGGCGGGACACGUGGUAUCCUGUCUGAAUAUGGGGGGACCAUCCUCCAAGGCUAAAUACUCCUGACUGACCGAUAGUGAACCAGUACCGUGAGGGAAAGGCGAAAAGAACCCCGGCGAGGGGAGUGAAAAAGAACCUGAAACCGUGUACGUACAAGCAGUGGGAGCACCCUUUGGGUGUGACUGCGUACCUUUUGUAUAAUGGGUCAGCGACUUAUAUUCUGUAGCAAGGUUAACCGAAUAGGGGAGCCGGAGGGAAACCGAGUCUUAAUUGGGCGUUAAGUUGCAGGGUAUAGACCCGAAACCCGGUGAUCUAGCCAUGGGCAGGUUGAAGGUUGGGUAACACUAACUGGAGGACCGAACCGACUAAUGUUGAAAAAUUAGCGGAUGACCUGUGGCUGGGGGUGAAAGGCCAAUCAAACCGGGAGAUAGCUGGUUCUCCCCGAAAGCUAUUUAGGUAGCGCCUCGUGAAUUCAUCUCCGGGGGUAGAGCACUGUUUCGGCUAGGGGGCCAUCCCGGCUUACCAACCCGAUGCAAACUGCGAAUACCGGAGAAUGUUAUCACGGGAGACACACGGCGGGUGCUAACGUCCGUCGUGAAGAGGGAAACAACCCAGACCGCCAGCUAAGGUCCCAAAGUCAUGGUUAAGUGGGAAACGAUGUGGGAAGGCCCAGACAGCCAGGAUGUUGGCUUAGAAGCAGCCAUCAUUUAAAGAAAGCGUAAUAGCUCACUGGUCGAGUCGGCCUGCGCGGAAGAUGUAACGGGGCUAAACCAUGCACCGAAGCUGCGGCAGCGACACUGUGUGUUGUUGGGUAGGGGAGCGUUCUGUAAGCCUGUGAAGGUGUGUCGUGAGGCAUGCUGGAGGUAUCAGAAGUGCGAAUGCUGACAUAAGUAACGAUAAAGCGGGUGAAAAGCCCGCUCGCCGGAAGACCAAGGGUUCCUGUCCAACGUUAAUCGGGGCAGGGUGAGUCGACCCCUAAGGCGAGGCCGAAAGGCGUAGUCGAUGGGAAACGGGUUAAUAUUCCCGUACUUGGUGUUACUGCGAAGGGGGGACGGAGAAGGCUAUGUUGGCCGGGCGACGGUUGUCCCGGUUUAAGCGUGUAGGUGUGUGUUCCAGGUAAAUCCGGUUCACUUUAACACUGAGGCGUGACGACGAGGCACUACGGUGCUGAAGCAACAAAUGCCCUGCUUCCAGGAAAAGCCUCUAAGCAUCAGGUAACAUCAAAUCGUACCCCAAACCGACACAGGUGGUCAGGUAGAGAAUACCAAGGCGCUUGAGAGAACUCGGGUGAAGGAACUAGGCAAAAUGGUGCCGUAACUUCGGGAGAAGGCACGCUGACACGUAGGUGAAGUGAUUUACUCAUGGAGCUGAAGUCAGUCGAAGAUACCAGCUGGCUGCAACUGUUUAUUAAAAACACAGCACUGUGCAAACACGAAAGUGGACGUAUACGGUGUGACGCCUGCCCGGUGCCGGAAGGUUAAUUGAUGGGGUCAGCGCAAGCGAAGCUCCUGAUCGAAGCCCCGGUAAACGGCGGCCGUAACUAUAACGGUCCUAAGGUAGCGAAAUUCCUUGUCGGGUAAGUUCCGACCUGCACGAAUGGCGUAAUGAUGGCCAGGCUGUCUCCACCCGAGACUCAGUGAAAUUGAACUCGCUGUGAAGAUGCAGUGUACCCGCGGCAAGACGGAAAGACCCCGUGAACCUUUACUAUAGCUUGACACUGAACAUUGAGCCUUGAUGUGUAGGAUAGGUGGGAGGCUUUGAAGUGUGGACGCCAGUCUGCAUGGAGCCGACCUUGAAAUACCACCCUUUAAUGUUUGAUGUUCUAACGUGGACCCGUUACCCGGGUUGCGGACAGUGUCUGGUGGGUAGUUUGACUGGGGCGGUCUCCUCCUAAAGAGUAACGGAGGAGCACGAAGGUUGGCUAAUCCUGGUCGGACAUCAGGAGGUUAGUGCAAUGGCAUAAGCCAGCUUGACUGCGAGCGUGACGGCGCGAGCAGGUGCGAAAGCAGGUCAUAGUGAUCCGGUGGUUCUGAAUGGAAGGGCCAUCGCUCAACGGAUAAAAGGUACUCCGGGGAUAACAGGCUGAUACCGCCCAAGAGUUCAUAUCGACGGCGGUGUUUGGCACCUCGAUGUCGGCUCAUCACAUCCUGGGGCUGAAGUAGGUCCCAAGGGUAUGGCUGUUCGCCAUUUAAAGUGGUACGCGAGCUGGGUUUAGAACGUCGUGAGACAGUUCGGUCCCUAUCUGCCGUGGGCGCUGGAGAACUGAGGGGGGCUGCUCCUAGUACGAGAGGACCGGAGUGGACGCAUCACUGGUGUUCGGGUUGUCAUGCCAAUGGCACUGCCCGGUAGCUAAAUGCGGAAGAGAUAAGUGCUGAAAGCAUCUAAGCACGAAACUUGCCCCGA